CCCCAGUAGCGGCGAGCGAACGGGGAGGAGCCCAGAGCCUGAAUCAGCAUGUGUGUUAGUGGAAGCGUCUGGAAAGGCGCGCGAUACAGGGUGAGAGCCCCGUACACAAAAGCGCACAUGCUGUGAGCUCGAUGAGUAGGGCGGGACACGUGGUAUCCUGUCUGAAUAUGGGGGGACCAUCCUCCAAGGCUAAAUACUCCUGACUGACCGAUAGUGAACCAGUACCGUGAGGGAAAGGCGAAAAGAACCCCGGCGAGGGGAGUGAAACAGAACCUGAAACCGUGUACGUACAAGCAGUGGGAGCCUCUCUUUAUGGGGGGUGACUGCGUACCUUUUGUAUAAUGGGUCAGCGACUUAUAUUCUGUAGCAAGGUUAACCGCAUAGGGGAGCCGAAGGGAAACCGAGUCUUAAUUGGGCGUUAAGUUGCAGGGUAUAGACCCGAAACCCGGUGAUCUAGCCAUGGGCAGGUUGAAGGUUGGGUAACACUAACUGGAGGACCGAACCGACUAAUGUUGAAAAAUUAGCGGAUGACCUGUGGCUGGGGGUGAAAGGCCAAUCAAACCGGGAGAUAGCUGGUUCUCCCCGAAAGCUAUUUAGGUAGCGCCUCGUGAACUCAUCUCCGGGGGUAGAGCACUGUUUCGGCUAGGGGGCCAUCCCGGCUUACCAACCCGAUGCAAACUGCGAAUACCGGAGAAUGUUAUCACGGGAGACACACGGCGGGUGCUAACGUCCGUCGUGAAGAGGGAAACAACCCAGACCGCCAGCUAAGGUCCCAAAGUCAUGGUUAAGUGGGAAACGAUGUGGGAAGGCCCAGACAGCCAGGAUGUUGGCUUAGAAGCAGCCAUCAUUUAAAGAAAGCGUAAUAGCUCACUGGUCGAGUCGGCCUGCGCGGAAGAUGUAACGGGGCUAAACCAUGCACCGAAGCUGCGGCAGCGACACUUUAGUGUUGUUGGGUAGGGGAGCGUUCUGUAAGCCGUUGAAGGUGUCCUGUGAGGGGUGCUGGAGGUAUCAGAAGUGCGAAUGCUGACAUAAGUAACGAUAAAGCGGGUGAAAAGCCCGCUCGCCGGAAGACCAAGGGUUCCUGUCCAACGUUAAUCGGGGCAGGGUGAGUCGACCCCUAAGGCGAGGCCGAAAGGCGUAGUCGAUGGGAAACGGGUUAAUAUUCCCGUACUUGGUGUUACUGCGAAGGGGGGACGGAGAAGGCUAUGUUGGCCGGGCGACGGUUGUCCCGGUUUAAGCGUGUAGGUGUGUGUUCCAGGUAAAUCCGGUUCACUUUAAC
Molecule: ribosomal RNA, 1279 nt
Filed under: Salmonella enterica
Lineage: Bacteria; Pseudomonadati; Pseudomonadota; Gammaproteobacteria; Enterobacterales; Enterobacteriaceae
Description: partial 23S ribosomal RNA
Rfam family: Bacterial large subunit ribosomal RNA
Source: RNAcentral